Molecule: ribosomal RNA, 245 nt
Filed under: uncultured bacterium
Lineage: Bacteria
Description: partial 16S ribosomal RNA
Rfam family: Bacterial small subunit ribosomal RNA
Source: RNAcentral
UACGAAGGGGGCUAGCGUUGCUCGGAAUUACUGGGCGUAAAGGGCGCGUAGGCGGAUGAUUAAGUUGGGGGUGAAAGCCCGGGGCUCAACCUCGGAACUGCCUUCAAAACUGGUCAUCUUGAGUUCGGGAGAGGUGUGUGGAACUCCGAGUGUAGAGGUGAAAUUCGUAGAUAUUCGGAAGAACACCAGUGGCGAAGGCGACACACUGGCCCGAUACUGACGCUGAGGCGCGAAAGCGUGGGGAG